Molecule: unclassified non-coding RNA, 150 nt
Filed under: uncultured Ascomycota
Lineage: Eukaryota; Fungi; Ascomycota
Description: sequence contains ITS1
Source: RNAcentral
CCGAGUGAGGGCUCCGGCCCGACCUCCAACCCUUUGUUAUUCUUCUCUGUUGCCUCGGGGGCGACCCGGUUCCUCUGGGAUGCCGGGGCCCCCGGUGGUCCCAAUCUAAACUCUUGCAUCUCUGCGUCUGAGUCAAUUUUAAAUCAAUUA